GCUGGGCCUGGUGCUGCAUGCCCGGAAUCCCAGUAACUGAGAGGCUGAGGCAGGAGGAUCACACCGAGUUUGAGGCCAGCCUCAGCAACUUAGUAAGACCCUGUCUCCA
This 109-nucleotide small RNA is filed under the name Marmota monax (woodchuck). Lineage: Eukaryota; Metazoa; Chordata; Mammalia; Rodentia; Sciuridae. The record is from RNAcentral.